This 255-nucleotide unclassified non-coding RNA is filed under the name Hevea brasiliensis (rubber tree). The record is from RNAcentral. Lineage: Eukaryota; Viridiplantae; Streptophyta; Magnoliopsida; Malpighiales; Euphorbiaceae.
CCAUGCUGACCAGAACGUACAGCCACAGCAGCAAAAUCCUUGAUCUUAGUCCGAACAAUAUUGAUACCACGAUCAUCACUUGCAUUUAGUUCCAAAACUCUGGAUUUGUAGAGUUCAGGCCCAAAAAGCUGGUGGGCGAUGGCCAAUGCGGUGGUGGUCUUGCCGGUACCAGGAGGGCCAUAAAAGAGCAUAUGUGGGCAAUUAGUGGUCUCGAGGGUGUUGGUGAGGACACGAACGACCUCGUCCUGGUGAGCC